CCCCCCCUCCUUUGUCUCAUAUUCUCAGAUUUCUCCUGUUGUAAGCUGGAAGCAAACAGAACAGUUGUUGGGAAUCCGGGCAUAAUCAAGAAGAUGCAACUCUGAAAAGGAUGCAGAAGCUUCCAUUGAUUUCUUUGAAAAGUACAAGGUUUUUCAGACAUUGAUUCUGGUGUCCCCUCAAUGUCACGAGAAGGGAAUUAUAUUAAGGAGUAAAAGACAAAAGGGUGACUUUUUAAUGACACAAAGGAAUAAUAUUGUUACUUGGAUUCAAAGUACUCGAUUGUCUUGGUCUUGUCCUUUUUAAAUUGAUUGAAAGCAGUAGCAGCAGUGACACG
This is a long non-coding RNA of Tripterygium wilfordii, 335 nucleotides long. RefSeq lists it as uncharacterized. The record is from RefSeq and is a predicted model, not a curated record. Lineage: Eukaryota; Viridiplantae; Streptophyta; Magnoliopsida; Celastrales; Celastraceae. The transcript has 2 exons.